This 569-nucleotide long non-coding RNA is filed under the name Bos taurus (domestic cattle). Its description in RNAcentral is "long non-coding RNA NONBTAT025227". The record is from RNAcentral. Lineage: Eukaryota; Metazoa; Chordata; Mammalia; Artiodactyla; Bovidae.
GAAUAUAAGGGUGCUUAUUUAUUAAGUUAUGUAACAGUAAACAUAAUCACAUACCACAGAAAAUCAUGAGGAAAAAGAAAACUCCCAAAUGGUGUCAGUUAGCUGGUGCUGAGGGUAAAAUUCAUAAAGUUGAUCAUAUGUUCUAUAAGCAGCUUUAAAAGAUUACUGAAAGUCUUUUUCAGGCUGAAGACAUCAUAAGCAGACUGAACGAGAUACAGCAAUGUCAAACACAACAUUGUUGUCAUUUGUUCAGGCAUUUAAAAAUAGUUCACACAACCCAGACCACUCUCAAUUGCUCAUUUGAAGGACAGCAGUCGAGCAGCAGUACCAAUGCAGGUUCCAAAUGUUGGGUAGUGAGAGAGCGUGAAUGACACUUAUAAACGGGUAGGUACACAUAUAAAUUAUGCCUUCCGAGUUAUUUUUACAUAUGACACUAGCAUACGACAGGGGAAAAAAGCCGGCUAUGCUGGUUGACGUCCGAAGCUGGUAGAAUUCUGAAUUUGGCAAUAAAUGGUGCAUAUCAAAGAAACUCAUGAAAAUGAAAAGUUGUCUGGCCUUCUGAACUUAGU